Molecule: ribosomal RNA, 708 nt
Filed under: Bacillus cereus
Lineage: Bacteria; Bacillati; Bacillota; Bacilli; Caryophanales; Bacillaceae
Description: bacterial SSU rRNA
Rfam family: Bacterial small subunit ribosomal RNA
Source: RNAcentral
AAGUUCGAGCGAAUGGAUUAAGAGCUUGCUCUUAUGAAGUUAGCGGCGGACGGGUGAGUAACACGUUGGGUAACCUGCCCAUAAGACUGGGAUAACUCCGGGAAACCGGGGCUAAUACCGGAUAACAUUUUGAACCGCAUGGUUCGAAAUUGAAAGGCGGCUUCGGCUGUCACUUAUGGAUGGACCCGCGUCGCAUUAGCUAGUUGGUGAGGUAACGGCUCACCAAGGCAACGAUGCGUAGCCGACCUGAGAGGGUGAUCGGCCACACUGGGACUGAGACACGGCCCAGACUCCUACGGGAGGCAGCAGUAGGGAAUCUUCCGCAAUGGACGAAAGUCUGACGGAGCAACGCCGCGUGAGUGAUGAAGGCUUUCGGGUCGUAAAACUCUGUUGUUAGGGAAGAACAAGUGCUAGUUGAAUAAGCUGGCACCUUGACGGUACCUAACCAGAAAGCCACGGCUAACUACGUGCCAGCAGCCGCGGUAAUACGUAGGUGGCAAGCGUUAUCCGGAAUUAUUGGGCGUAAAGCGCGCGCAGGUGGUUUCUUAAGUCUGAUGUGAAAGCCCACGGCUCAACCGUGGAGGGUCAUUGGGAAACUGGGGAGACUUGAGUGCAGAAGAGGAAAGUGGAAUUCCAUGUGUAGCGGUGAAAUGCCGUAGAGAUAUGGGAGGAAACACCCAGGUGGGAAGGGCAUCUUUCGGUAUGAAC